UACGUAGGGGGCAAGCGUUGUCCGGAUUUAUUGGGCGUAAAGAGCGUGUAGGCGGCUUGGUAGGUCUCGCGUCAAAACCUGAGGCUCAACCUCAGUUCGCGUGGGAAACCACCUAGCUAGAGUCCGGAAGAGGAGAACGGAAUUCCCAGUGUAGCGGUGAAAUGCGCAGAUAUUGGGAAGAACACCAGUGGCGAAGGCGGUUCUCUGGACAGUUCCUGACACUGAGGCACGAAGGCCAGGGGAGCAAACGGG
This 252-nucleotide ribosomal RNA is filed under the name uncultured bacterium. RNAcentral describes it as "partial 16S ribosomal RNA". It matches the Rfam family "Bacterial small subunit ribosomal RNA", at positions 524 to 776 of the family's 1533-position model. The record is from RNAcentral.